AACGAACGCUGGCGGCAUGCCUAACACAUGCAAGUCGAACGAGACCUUCGGGUCUAGUGUCGCACGGGUGCGUAACGCGUGGGAACCUGCCCUUAGGUUCGGAAUAACUCCCCGAAAGGGGUGCUAAUACCGGAUAAUGUCUUCGGACCAAAGAUUUAUCGCCUUUGGAUGGGCCCGCGUUGGAUUAGCUAGUUGGUAGGGUAAAAGCCUACCAAGGCGACGAUACAUAGCUGGCCUGAGAGGAUGAUCAGCCACACUGGGACUGAGACACGGCCCAGACUCCUACGGGAGGCAGCAGUGGGGAAUAUUGGACAAUGGGCGAAAGCCUGAUCCAGCAAUGCCGCGUGAGUGAUGAAGGCCUUAGGGUUGUAAAGCUCUUUUACCCGGGAUGAUAAUGACAGUACCGGGAGAAUAAGCUCCGGCUAACUCCGUG
Molecule: ribosomal RNA, 433 nt
Filed under: uncultured bacterium
Lineage: Bacteria
Description: partial 16S ribosomal RNA
Rfam family: Bacterial small subunit ribosomal RNA
Source: RNAcentral